RNAcentral lists this ribosomal RNA (212 nucleotides) under Salmonella enterica subsp. enterica serovar Infantis. RNAcentral's name for it is "partial 16S ribosomal RNA". It matches the Rfam family "Bacterial small subunit ribosomal RNA", at positions 1 to 214 of the family's 1533-position model. The record is from RNAcentral. RNAcentral also lists the same sequence under 4 other names. Lineage: Bacteria; Pseudomonadati; Pseudomonadota; Gammaproteobacteria; Enterobacterales; Enterobacteriaceae.
AAAUUGAAGAGUUUGAUCAUGGCUCAGAUUGAACGCUGGCGGCAGGCCUAACACAUGCAAGUCGAACGGUAGCACAGAGAGCUUGCUCUCGGGUGACGAGUGGCGGACGGGUGAGUAAUGUCUGGGAAACUGCCUGAUGGAGGGGGAUAACUACUGGAAACGGUGGCUAAUACCGCAUAACGUCGCAAGACCAAAGAGGGGGACCUUCGGGC